Molecule: ribosomal RNA, 504 nt
Filed under: uncultured bacterium
Lineage: Bacteria
Description: bacterial SSU rRNA
Rfam family: Bacterial small subunit ribosomal RNA
Source: RNAcentral
AGUGAACGCUGGCGGCAGGCCUAAUACAUGCAAGUCGAACGGCAGCACAGCAGAGCUUGCUCUGUGGGUGGCGAGUGGCGGACGGGUGAGGAAUACAUGGGAAUCUGCCCAGUCGUGGGGGAUAACGUAGGGAAACUUACGCUAAUACCGCAUGCGCCCUUCGGGGAAAGCCGGGGACCUUCGGGCCUGGCGCGAUUGGAUGAGCCCAUGUCGGAUUAGCUAGUUGGCGGGGUAAUGGCCCACCAAGGCGACGAUCCGUAGCUGGUCUGAGAGGAUGAUCAGCCACACUGGAACUGAGACACGGUCCAGACUCCUACGGGAGGCAGCAGUAGGGAAUAUUGGACAAUGGGCGCAAGCCUGAUCCAGCCAUGCCGCGUGAGUGAAGAAGGCCCUCGGGUUGUAAAGCUCUUUGUCCGGAAAGAAAGCGCCGGGUUAAUACCCUGGUGUCCUGACGGUACCGGAAGAAUAAGCACCGGCUAACUUCGUGCCAGCAGCCGCGGUAAU